GAUGUACGCUGGCGGCGUGCCUAAUACAUGCAAGUCGAGCGGUAAGGCCUCUUCGGAGGUACACGAGCGGCGGACGGCUGAGUAACGCGUAGGAACAUACCCCAAAGUGAGGGAUAACUGCUCGAAAGAGUAGCUAAUACCGCAUGUGAUCUAAGGAUUAAAGCUUCGGCGCUUUGGGAAUGGCCUGCGUAUGAUUAGUUUGUUGGUGAGGUAAUGGCUCACCAAGACUACGAUCAUUAGCUGGUCUGAGAGGAUGAUCAGCCAGACUGGGACUGAGACACGGCCCAGACUCCUACGGGAGGCAGCAGUAGGGAAUCUUCCACAAUGGGCGAAAGCCUGAUGGAGCAACGCCGCGUGCAGGAUGAAGGCCUUCGGGUUGUAAACUGCUUUUAUAUGCGAAGAUUAUGACGGUAGCAUAUGAAUAAGGAUCGGCUAACUCCGUGCCAGCAGCCGCCGUAA
Molecule: ribosomal RNA, 459 nt
Filed under: uncultured bacterium
Lineage: Bacteria
Description: partial 16S ribosomal RNA
Rfam family: Bacterial small subunit ribosomal RNA
Source: RNAcentral